This is a long non-coding RNA of Polistes dominula (European paper wasp), 1249 nucleotides long. The record is from RefSeq and is a predicted model, not a curated record. NCBI's taxonomy places the organism in Eukaryota, Metazoa, Arthropoda, Insecta, Hymenoptera, Vespidae.
GACGACGUCGCUGCCAUUGCUGCCGUUGCUGCGGCCGUGGUCGUUGCUCGUUGCUUCCAUCAGCGUAUACUUGGCCAACGCGUUGCUUACAAGGCUGCUGCUACCACUUCGCCGUACAGACCUUUUGCAACCCGGUUUUAAACGCUGAAAGGAAAUAUGGUGGCUGAUAUAGGACGUGAACGAAUCGCGAUGCGAUCUAUCCCUCUUUCUUAAACGCGAUUGGUCGAUUAAGCCGCCGAAAUUCUAUUUGUCGUUUAAAACAACGUCGCGACGACAAUGAUUUCUAUGAAUCGUCGUCAUUGUUUCCGCCAAUACAAGAGCGUGUUGCAUUCUAACGAAUAGGAAAAGGGGAGACUAACGAUGAAAAACAAAUAAAAUUAGUGCUCGUUUAUUAUUCGACGACGCAGUUUAACCUAUCGAAAACAAAAAAAUAAAAAUAUGGAUCCAGGAUUAUAGAGUUCGAUGCGCGAUUGGUAUCUCUUCAAAUGACGUUCUCCAUUUUGAUGGUGGUAAUAGUAGUGAGGGUAGUGGUGGUAGCGGUGACGAAUAAAACAAAAAUAUCUGGUUGAUAUUUAAAAAUGGCUUCACAUCCCGAAUGGUGAAAUUAAGAGGUGGAGGAGAAGGAGGAGGAGGAGUUUAUACACGGUUUACCUUAUAGGAGCAAUUUCCACAAAUACUCGUCGUAUUUCCAGUGGCUAUGCAGCAUCUCGAUGCUACACCACCGCAUUAUCAUCACCAUCGACACAACGAGGCAUCCUCCUCAUUCUCGUUUCUCUCCUUUACAUGUAUACAUACCAGUCCUAUUCUUAGCGCUCGCGUAUCGCGAGUAACGGGCUGGACGAUGACGACUCAUAGCUAAAGCAAAAGAAAGAAAUAAAGAAAGAAAGAAAUAGACAUGCAAGCAGGCAGGUUGGCAGGCAGGUAGAUGGAAGGAAGGAUGGAAUAAUAGAGGGGACAAUGGAAGAAGGGAGGAAAAGAAGACGUAUCGUAGAUAGAGAAAUACAAGGAGGAAACCCGACGACGACUACGACGACGACAACGAUAAAGUUUAUCGGCUGCCGAUAAAGCAGAGACUCGCGAUCUUUUGGCUUACAAGAAGAGCGAACUUUCUGCUUUAGGAAGGCGGAAGGGCAGAGGGAGAGGUAGCAAGUUCGUCAAAUCGCCGCGCCGAUGUUUCAAGUUUCCCGAGCCGCGCGGGGUCUUUUGCUCGUUCUCGUCGAUGACGAAAGUAAGAUACGUGCGAAUGCAA